UGAACGCGAAGAACCUUACCAAGUCUUGACAUCCUCUUGACCGGCGUGUAACGGCGCCUUCCCUUCGGGGCAAGAGAGACAGGUGGUGCAUGGUUGUCGUCAGCUCGUGUCGUGAGAUGUUGGGUUAAGUCCCGCAACGAGCGCAACCCUUAUCCUUAGUAGCCAGCACGUGGUGGUGGGCACUCUGAGGAGACUGCCAGGGAUAACCUGGAGGAAGGCGGGGAUGACGUCAAAUCAUCAUGCCCCUUAUGAUUUGGGCUACACACGUGCUACAAUGGCGUAAACAAAGGGAAGCGAACCCGCGAGGGUGGGCAAAUCUCAAAAAUAACGUCCCAGUUCGGACUGCAGUCUGCAACUCGACUGCACGAAGCUGGAAUCGCUAGUAAUCGCGGAUCAGAAUGCCGCGGUGAAUACGUUCCCGGGUCUUGUUCACCCG
Molecule: ribosomal RNA, 436 nt
Filed under: uncultured bacterium
Lineage: Bacteria
Description: bacterial SSU rRNA
Rfam family: Bacterial small subunit ribosomal RNA
Source: RNAcentral